UGGGGAAUUUUUGUCAAUGGGGGAAACCCUGAACAAGCAACGCCGCGUGAAGGACGAAGACCUUCGGGUUGUAAACUUCUGUCGGAGGGGACGAAAGCGGUCGCGGCGAAUACCCGUGGCCGUUGACGGUACCCUACGAGGAAGCCCCGGCUAACUCUGUGCCAGCAGCCGCGGUAAUACAGAGGGUGCGAGCGUUGUCCGGAAUCACUGGGCGUAAAGGGCGCGUAGGCGGCCUGAUAAGUAGGGGGUGAAAUCUUGCGGCUCAACCGCAAGGCUGCCUCCUAGACUGUCAGGCUCGAGCACGGCAGAGGCUGGUGGAAUUCCCGGUGUAGCGGUGGAAUGCGUAGAGAUCGGGAAGAACAUCGGUGGCGAAGGCGGCCAGCUGGGCCGUUGCUGACGCUGAGGCGCGACAGCGUGGGGAGCAA
This 425-nucleotide ribosomal RNA is filed under the name uncultured bacterium. RNAcentral's name for it is "bacterial SSU rRNA". It matches the Rfam family "Bacterial small subunit ribosomal RNA", at positions 355 to 771 of the family's 1533-position model. The record is from RNAcentral.